This 94-nucleotide microRNA precursor is filed under the name Petromyzon marinus (sea lamprey). Its description in RNAcentral is "microRNA pma-mir-4624 precursor". Lineage: Eukaryota; Metazoa; Chordata; Hyperoartia; Petromyzontiformes; Petromyzontidae. The record is from miRBase by way of RNAcentral.
CAUAACCAAACGCACCGCGGUCGGGUCGGGCUGAGUGGUGGUGGUGGUGCCGGCGGCUCGCUAACCCGUCCCGACCGAGGGGUGUUUGGUUCAU